This is a non-coding RNA of Podarcis lilfordi (Lilford's wall lizard), 75 nucleotides long. NCBI's taxonomy places the organism in Eukaryota, Metazoa, Chordata, Lepidosauria, Squamata, Lacertidae. The record is from the annotation of a GenBank genome assembly.
ACCUGGGAUAGCUCAGUCAGUAGAGCAUGAUAACAUUUAAUCUCAGGGUUGUGGGUUCGAGCCCCAUGUUGGAUA